This 73-nucleotide transfer RNA is filed under the name Vicugna pacos (alpaca). RNAcentral describes it as "tRNA-Ala (AGC) (tRNA-Ala-AGC-815-1)". It matches the Rfam family "tRNA". Rfam says of the family: Transfer RNA (tRNA) molecules are approximately 80 nucleotides in length. Their secondary structure includes four short double-helical elements and three loops (D, anti-codon, and T loops). Further hydrogen bonds mediate the characteristic L-shaped molecular structure. tRNAs have two regions of fundamental functional importance: the anti-codon, which is responsible for specific mRNA codon recognition, and the 3' end, to which the tRNAs corresponding amino acid is attached (by aminoacyl-tRNA synthetases). tRNAs cope with the degeneracy of the genetic code in two manners: having more than one tRNA (with a specific anti-codon) for a particular amino acid; and 'wobble' base-pairing, i.e. permitting non-standard base-pairing at the 3rd anti-codon position. The record is from RNAcentral. Lineage: Eukaryota; Metazoa; Chordata; Mammalia; Artiodactyla; Camelidae.
GGAGGGUAUAGCUCAGUGGUAGAGCAUGUGCUUAGCAUGCACAAGGUCCUGGGUUCAAUCCCCAGUACCUCUG